UGCUCUUCUUCAUCCUUGACCUUCUUCUUCUUCUUCUUCUUCUUCUUCUUCUUUUUCUUCUUCUUCUUCUUCUUCUUCUUCUUCUUCUUCUUCUUCUUCUUCUUCUUCUUCUUCUUCUUCAGAUAUAAAUAAGAAGAGGUGAGUAACUCAUCAUAGUAAUAGUAAGUCUUCAUUGAGAGAGUACAACUAAAGAAAGCAAGGGAUAUUAACAGAAUCCAACAUAUCCUUUAUCGCCAUUUUCCUCGACGCCAUUACUGCUCUGUCAACAACUCUCGAACCAAUCAAAUUGAAUAUCUUAAUACAUAAUUUCAAAAAGCUUCCAAUUCAAGUUGAAUAUGAUAUAAUGUUUUUGGAAUGGAUAAGUGAUAGAAACAAUUACAUCGUCCAUUUUUAGUAUGUUAAGUGCAAAUCAAAUAAAUUAUUAAAAAGUUAUAAAAAUAAAAUAUUAACAAUUAUAAAAUACGAUUCAAACAAUUAAACUUUUUAUAAUUCUCUUCUGGUCAACUGAACUUUUACCUUCCUCUAAAUCGAAAUUUCAAUCGAUUUUUAGUUCAACUAGACAGUUCGAUUUAAAUAACAUUGCAUUUUAAUUUUUUUAUGAUGAAAAUUAAUUGGUUUUAUGGAUUUUCAAAUUAGUUUUCAUCAUAUAAAAAUAUAAAUUUUUUGAUAAGCUAUCAAUAAGCGUUGAGCGUAGUGGUGAAGUAUAUUACAAUUUGAAAGAGAGAGUACGUGUUCAAACUUUGAAGACGAUAUUGUUGGAAGAGGUAGUCAUAUACUCCAAUCAUAGAUCGUAAUAUAGACAUGAAACAUACCAAUAAUAUAUACUUUCAAUAAGUUAUUAUAAAAUUGACUACAUAUAUAAAAAGAUAUAUAACUUUUUAUUUGAUUAAUAAGUUAUAUAAAUUUUAUUUAUAUCAUUUAUUAUAAAUUUUUUUUGUAUUGGUUAGAAUUGUAUAACCCAAAUCUUUGUUAAAAAAUACAUUGAUGGUUUCACUUUUUCCACUACGUAAUAAUGUAAUUGGAGUUUUAGAUAAAGGCAAAUCAACAAAACAAAAAUCAACAAAGUUUACCUCAAAAUGUCACAACACUUAUUAAAUUGGACUCUUAAGUUAACUUAAUAAUAUGACGUUUUGAUAAUCCCAAGGCAGUUACAUUAAGCUUUCUAAAAGUUAGUCAAAAAGAAUGUUUUCAAAUUUAAUUGGUUCAACGGAACCAAACCAUAACAUCUGAACCGAGUUAGGAAGGUUAUAGUUGAAUCCUUCAAGAUUAAAUUUUGAACAACAUCAGCCUUCUAUACCUCACUAGUAAUAGUUUUACUGGUCGUAUUCCUCUAGCUUUGUGUCAUCUGAUGAAACUGGAGUACACAUCGCUUUCCCAAAAUAAAUAAAGUGGCUCAAUCCCUUCUUGUGUUGAUUGUUUAUUGAAAGAUCCUAUUCUUGGAGAAAUUUGUAAUUUAGCCCUUAAUCCAAAUGAAAGAAAGAACUAUCUCCAUGUAUCGGGAAUAGAACCCUUAAUAUCUCACUAGUUUUGCCCAAUAAUCCAUGGUAGAUGAAGCAACUUUGCAAUUUAGUCCAAAAAUCUCAAUUUCUCCUCUCUUUCAACUUAAGACAAGCUCAUUCAAAACCUAUUAACUACCAAAAGCCCAGCAAUGACUUCUCAAACUCUUGAAUUAGAAUUUUCCGUAUGAAAAUCGCUAUAAAAAAAUUAAUUCUCGAUAAACUUUUGCAGUAAUUUUAUCGGAGUUUCAUGAAAUUGAAUAUAUUAACUAUUGUUGUUCACAUAGAAAGAAAGCACAAGAGUGGAUCAAAUUGGAGAAUUUCUUUGUUAUCAUAUAUGGUAUAUGGCGUAAACCUGUUUAAUCAGACGAGUCUAACAAACAGUUAAUCAUGUUUUGUUUGUCUCUAAAAGCUAAAAAAAAAAUGUAAGUUGGCUAACAAGUGAAAAAGCAUUCAUCACUAUGCUUGGAUGUUUUCCGAUUAUUAUGGAAAGAAGGUUUCUGAGUGGUUUCCCAUCAUAAAACCCCACACGUAAAGUUAGUCAUUUUACACAACUCUUAAUUCUUACUUUAAGAUGAAAAUACAGCAGCAGGUCCACAAAUAAAGCAGGGCACAUUGACUACUGUUGUUGGCAUAGAAAGAAAAACAUAUACAGUAUGGAAACCCAGUAAAGUAGGUUGAAAAGCAUUCAUCAUUCAUCACGUUUUGUUUUCUAUAUCUAUAGUAUUAGUAUGUUGCAACAAAUGGGAAAGUAUUCAAUACACGGAUCAGCUUUUGCCUCCUUUAAUUAAA
Molecule: long non-coding RNA, 2288 nt
Organism: Gossypium raimondii (Peruvian cotton)
Lineage: Eukaryota; Viridiplantae; Streptophyta; Magnoliopsida; Malvales; Malvaceae
Exons: 2
Source: RefSeq, a predicted model, not a curated record